AUUGAACGCUGGCGGCAUGCCUUACACAUGCAAGUCGAACGGCAGCACGGGGCAACCCUGGUGGCGAGUGGCGAACGGGUGAGUAAUACAUCGGAACGUGCCCAGUAGUGGGGGAUAGCUCGGCGAAAGCCGGAUUAAUACCGCAUACGAUCUCUGGAUGAAAGCGGGGACUCGCAAGAGCCUCGCGCGAUUGGAGCGGCCGAUAUCAGAUUAGCUAGUUGGUGGGUAAAGCCCACCAAGGCGACGAUCUGUAGCUGGUCUGAGAGGACGACCAGCCACACUGGAACUGAGACACGGUCCAGACUCCUACGGAGCAG
RNAcentral lists this ribosomal RNA (317 nucleotides) under uncultured Pseudomonadota bacterium. RNAcentral's name for it is "bacterial SSU rRNA". It matches the Rfam family "Bacterial small subunit ribosomal RNA", at positions 30 to 351 of the family's 1533-position model. The record is from RNAcentral. Lineage: Bacteria; Pseudomonadati; Pseudomonadota.